AGGCGAGCGUGUGAUUACGGAGGACCUACCAGGUGCCCUCGGGAGCUGAGGGGCACGGGCUGAAGCCCUGCCCCUGGGUGUUCCUGCGGCCCCUAAUGAGUGCGGCCCCUUGCUGCUCCUAGGCCGCCGUGGGGAGGAGCUGCGCGCGGGUCGCGGGGCCGCGUGCGCAUUCUGCGGCUGUCAGCCACGGUCUGGGGACGGAGGGGUCGGCGGGACGGCUUGAAUCCAGGGCCUGUCCGCAGCGUCGGGAGGCUGUCCAGAGAGCUCAGGGCGGAGGAGCAAGGCGGGAACAAGGGAUCGCGUGGGGGCCGCAUUUCCCUGCCUGGGCCCGCCGUGGGGCCGAGAAGACGCCCCGCGGAGGAAGAACGCCUCCCAGGGCCAGGCCGCCCUGUGCUCGGCCGGCGCGGCUUCCGCCGCGGGGGCGGGCCGGGGCUUUUGCACGCGGGCCCUGAAGAGCAGGGUGCGUCCCGACGUCCCCCAAGGGCUUCAGCCCUGGCAGAGAGGGUCGGCCGCCGAGCCGGUGAGGCGGGAAGAGGAGAAGAGCCCGGGCGGCGUGAAGUGGACACAGCUGGAGCACAGAGGCCCGUGGUUCGCGGCCCCCUACGAGCCCCUUCCUGAGGGAGGUCCUUCUACGACGUGUUCUGUGAUAAAGGUUCUCAAACGUACAACAGCGGAGAGAACUCCGUAGUGAAGGCCCUCCCCGCACUGGCCUUCACGCUCCUGAGCUGGACCCUCUUCUCCACCGAGCUGUUCCUAGUGCCAGCGCUUGGAGUAAAAUGUUGGAAGUCACUGGGCAAAUGGGAAGGUGUUUAAAGGUUGCAGCUGCUACAGUUAAUCACACAUCUGUUCUGAAGCCUUAACUUUAGUUUUGCUUCUGUUAAGUGGUGAUGUGCAUCCUCACACUGCAGGUGUUGUUGAUCUGGAAAUUUCGGCGUGAACGUAGCAGCAAAGUAAAUCAUUCAGUUCAGUUCA
Molecule: RNA transcript, 972 nt
Organism: Bubalus bubalis (water buffalo)
Lineage: Eukaryota; Metazoa; Chordata; Mammalia; Artiodactyla; Bovidae
Exons: 3
Source: RefSeq, a predicted model, not a curated record